RNAcentral lists this ribosomal RNA (725 nucleotides) under Bacillus anthracis (anthrax bacterium). RNAcentral's name for it is "bacterial SSU rRNA". It matches the Rfam family "Bacterial small subunit ribosomal RNA", at positions 57 to 763 of the family's 1533-position model. The record is from RNAcentral. Lineage: Bacteria; Bacillati; Bacillota; Bacilli; Caryophanales; Bacillaceae. RNAcentral also lists the same sequence under 2 other names.
GCAGUCGAGCGAAUGGAUUAAGAGCUUGCUCUUAUGAAGUUAGCGGCGGACGGGUGAGUAACACGUGGGUAACCUGCCCAUAAGACUGGGAUAACUCCGGGAAACCGGGGCUAAUACCGGAUAACAUUUUGAACCGCAUGGUUCGAAAUUGAAAGGCGGCUUCGGCUGUCACUUAUGGAUGGACCCGCGUCGCAUUAGCUAGUUGGUGAGGUAACGGCUCACCAAGGCAACGAUGCGUAGCCGACCUGAGAGGGUGAUCGGCCACACUGGGACUGAGACACGGCCCAGACUCCUACGGGAGGCAGCAGUAGGGAAUCUUCCGCAAUGGACGAAAGUCUGACGGAGCAACGCCGCGUGAGUGAUGAAGGCUUUCGGGUCGUAAAACUCUGUUGUUAGGGAAGAACAAGUGCUAGUUGAAUAAGCUGGCACCUUGACGGUACCUAACCAGAAAGCCACGGCUAACUACGUGCCAGCAGCCGCGGUAAUACGUAGGUGGCAAGCGUUAUCCGGAAUUAUUGGGCGUAAAGCGCGCGCAGGUGGUUUCUUAAGUCUGAUGUGAAAGCCCACGGCUCAACCGUGGAGGGUCAUUGGAAACUGGGAGACUUGAGUGCAGAAGAGGAAAGUGGAAUUCCAUGUGUAGCGGUGAAAUGCGUAGAGAUAUGGAGGAACACCAGUGGCGAAGGCGACUUUCUGGUCUGUAACUGACACUGAGGCGCGAAAGCGUG